RNAcentral lists this ribosomal RNA (705 nucleotides) under uncultured bacterium. Its description in RNAcentral is "bacterial SSU rRNA". It matches the Rfam family "Bacterial small subunit ribosomal RNA", at positions 727 to 1433 of the family's 1533-position model. The record is from RNAcentral.
UCNUGGGAUAACACUGACGUUCAUGCCCGAAAGCGUGGGUAGCAAGCAGGAUUAGAUACCCUGGUAGUCCACGCCCUAAACGAUGUCGAUUAGCUGUUGGGCAGCAUGACUGCUUAGUAGCGAAGCUAACGCGUGAAAUCGACCGCCUGGGGAGUACGGUCGCAAGAUUAAAACUCAAAGGAAUUGACGGGGACCCGCACAAGCGGUGGAUGAUGUGGAUUAAUUCGAUGCAACGCGAAGAACCUUACCUGGUCUUGACAUGUACGGAACCCUCCAGAGACGGAGGGGUGCCUUCGGGAGCCGUAACACAGGUGCUGCAUGGCUGUCGUCAGCUCGUGUCGUGAGAUGUUGGGUUAAGUCCCGCAACGAGCGCAACCCUUGUCAUUAGUUGCCAUCAUUAAGUUGGGCACUCUAAUGAGACUGCCGGUGACAAGCCGGAGGAAGGUGGGGAUGACGUCAAGUCCUCAUGGCCCUUAUGACCAGGGCUUCACACGUCAUACAAUGGUCGGUACAGAGGGUAGCCAAGCCGCGAGGCGGAGCCAAUCUCACAAAACCGAUCGUAGUCCGGAUUGCACUCUGCGACUCGAGUGCAUGAAGUCGGAAUCGCUAGUAAUCGCAGGUCAGCAUACUGCGGUGAAUACGUUCCCGGGUCUUGUACACACCGCCCGUCACACCAUGGGAGUGGGGGAUACCAGAAGUAGGUAG